ACCUUCAACAAUAGCAAAAGAAGAAAACAUGAUAAACUGAAUAAAGAACACAAUAGUUUAAUCUACAAGACAUCACUUGCAAGGAUGUGAAACUGAACAAUAUGCGAAGCAUGUGAAUAUCAAACAUCCCAAAGGCCAAGAGUACAUGUAUAUGUAAGCACCGAAUAUACUUGUGCAUGAAACCAGAGGUUUUAGAUGGGAACAAAUGUAUAUUAAUAUAUGGAACUUAUAUAGGGGCCGUUUGGAUGAGCUUAAAAUAAAUGCUUCUUGCUUAAAAUAAAUAAGUGGAGUAAAAGUUAGAAGCAAGAUAAGACUUAUAAGUGAUUAAAGUGUUUGGGAAAUAAGUAGAAACCCUGAAACAAAAAGUAGCAUUCCUAACUUUUUAUAAGUGCUUCUUGACUUAUUAUACAAACGGUACGAAUAAGUGCUCAUAACUUAUAAUUCAGAAGCUGGACUUAUAAGUCUUUACCAAACACCCACAUAGUUCUUUACUUCUUAGGUCAGAACUUAAAAUGUUUACUUAAUAAUCUGUACCAGAAAAUGAUACAUUGUAUAUGAUAAACAAGCAUUACAAAUUUUGGAUCCUAUAUUUCAACUCCAAAUUACAGAGAUACUAAUAGGAAAC
RNAcentral lists this long non-coding RNA (625 nucleotides) under Daucus carota (carrot). RNAcentral's name for it is "long non-coding RNA (DCAR_LNC001557)". The record is from RNAcentral. Lineage: Eukaryota; Viridiplantae; Streptophyta; Magnoliopsida; Apiales; Apiaceae.